This 414-nucleotide ribosomal RNA is filed under the name uncultured microorganism. RNAcentral's name for it is "bacterial SSU rRNA". It matches the Rfam family "Archaeal small subunit ribosomal RNA", at positions 459 to 872 of the family's 1478-position model. The record is from RNAcentral.
CAGCAGCCGCGGUAAUACCGGCGGCCCGAGUGGCGGCCACUAUUAUUGGGCCUAAAGCGUCCGUAGCCGGGCUGGUAAGUCCUCCGGGAAAUCUGGUCGCUUAACGAUCAGACUUCCGGAGGAUACUGCUGGCCUAGGGACCGGGAGAGGCCGAGGGUAUUCCCGGGGUAGGGGUGAAAUCCUGUAAUCCCGGGAGGACCACCUGUGGCGAAGGCGCUCGGCUGGAACGGGUCCGACGGUGAGGGACGAAGGCCAGGGGAGCGAACCGGAUUAGAUACCCGGGUAGUCCUGGCUGUAAACGAUGCGGACUAGGUGUCGGGCAAGCUAAGGGCUUGUCCGGUGCCGCAGGGAAGCCGUUAAGUCCGCCGCCUGGGGAGUACGGCCGCAAGGCUGAAACUUAAAGGAAUUGGCGGG